This 261-nucleotide ribosomal RNA is filed under the name uncultured prokaryote. RNAcentral describes it as "partial 16S ribosomal RNA". It matches the Rfam family "Bacterial small subunit ribosomal RNA", at positions 524 to 784 of the family's 1533-position model. The record is from RNAcentral.
UACGUAGGGUACGAGCGUUGUCCGGAAUUAUUGGGCGUAAAGAGCUCGUAGGUGGUUGGUCACGUCUGCUGUGGAAACGCAACGCUUAACGUUGCGCGGGCAGUGGGUACGGGCUGACUAGAGUGCAGUAGGGGAGUCUGGAAUUCCUGGUGUAGCGGUGAAAUGCGCAGAUAUCAGGAGGAACACCGGUGGCGAAGGCGGGACUCUGGGCUGUGACUGACACUGAGGAGCGAAAGCAUGGGGAGCGAACAGGAUUAGAUA